GUCUUAUGGUUAGCUGAGCGGACGGGUGAGUAACACGUAGGCAACCUGCCCAUAAGAUCGGGAUAACUUUCGGAAACGGAUGCUAAGACCGGAUAAACUAUUUUGUCGCCUGGCUGGAUUGGGAAACACGGAGUAAGCUGUGGCUUGUGGAUGGGCCUGCGGCGCAUUAGCUAGUUGGUGGGGUAAAGGCUCACCAAGGCGACGAUGCGUAGCCGACCUGAGAGGGUGAACGGCCACACUGGGACUGAGACACGGCCCAGACUCCUACGGGAGGCAGCAGUAGGGAAUCUUCCACAAUGGGCGAAAGUCUGAUGGAGCAACGCCGCGUGAGUGAGGAAGGUUUUCGGGUCGUAAAGCUCUGUUGCCAGGGAAGAAUAAGGAUCAGAUAACUGGUGGUCUGAUGAACGUACCUGAAAAAAAAGCCCCCGGUAACUAACUGGCAACAGCCGCGGGAAUACCUAAGGGGGAAGCGUUGUUCCGAAUUAUUGGGCGUAAAGCGCGCGCAAGGGGGUCUUUAAGUCUGGUGUCUAAAAGCGUGGGCUCCACCCUGAGAUGCCCUGGAAACUGGGGAACUUCAGUGACAGAAGAAGAGAGCGGAAUUUCCACCGUGUAGCGGUGAAAUGCGUAGAGUAUGUGGA
RNAcentral lists this ribosomal RNA (638 nucleotides) under Cohnella sp. La-7-296. Its description in RNAcentral is "bacterial SSU rRNA". It matches the Rfam family "Bacterial small subunit ribosomal RNA", at positions 81 to 702 of the family's 1533-position model. Lineage: Bacteria; Bacillati; Bacillota; Bacilli; Caryophanales; Paenibacillaceae. The record is from RNAcentral.